This 447-nucleotide ribosomal RNA is filed under the name uncultured bacterium. Its description in RNAcentral is "partial 16S ribosomal RNA". It matches the Rfam family "Bacterial small subunit ribosomal RNA", at positions 29 to 523 of the family's 1533-position model. The record is from RNAcentral.
AACGAACGCUGGCGGCAGGCUCAACACAUGCAAGUCGAGCGCCCCGCAAGGGGAGCGGCAGACGGGUGAGUAACGCGUGGGAAUCUACCGUGCCCUACGGAAUAGCUCCGGGAAACUGGAAUUAAUACCGUAUACGCCCUACGGGGGAAAGAUUUAUCGGGGUAUGAUGAGCCCGCGUUGGAUUAGCUAGUUGGUGGGGUAAAGGCCUACCAAGGCGACGAUCCAUAGCUGGUCUGAGAGGAUGAUCAGCCACAUUGGGACUGAGACACGGCCCAAACUCCUACGGGAGGCAGCAGUGGGGAAUAUUGGACAAUGGGCGCAAGCCUGAUCCAGCCAUGCCGCGUGAGUGAUGAAGGUCUUAGGAUUGUAAAGCUCUUUCACCGGUGAAGAUAAUGACGGUAACCAGAGAAGAAGCCCCGGCUAACUUCGUGCCAGCCGCCGCAGUAA